UACGGUGGGGGCAAGCGUUGUUCGGAAUUACUGGGCGUAAAGGGCGCGUAGGCGGCCUUCUAAGUCGAACGUGAAAUCCCUGGGCUCAACCCAGGAACUGCGUCCGAUACUGGAAGGCUUGAAUCCGGGAGAGGGAUGCGGAAUUCCAGGUGUAGCGGUGAAAUGCGUAGAUAUCUGGAGGAACACCGGUGGCGAAGGCGGCAUCCUGGACCGGCAUUGACGCUGAGGCGCGAAAGCCAGGGGAGCAAACGGG
RNAcentral lists this ribosomal RNA (253 nucleotides) under uncultured bacterium. RNAcentral's name for it is "partial 16S ribosomal RNA". It matches the Rfam family "Bacterial small subunit ribosomal RNA", at positions 524 to 776 of the family's 1533-position model. The record is from RNAcentral.